RNAcentral lists this ribosomal RNA (301 nucleotides) under uncultured bacterium. RNAcentral's name for it is "partial 16S ribosomal RNA". It matches the Rfam family "Bacterial small subunit ribosomal RNA", at positions 509 to 807 of the family's 1533-position model. The record is from RNAcentral.
CAGUCGCCGCGGUAAUACGUAGGGUGCAAGCGUUAAUCGGAAUUACUGGGCGUAAAGCGUGCGCAGGCGGUUGUGCAAGACAGAUGUGAAAUCCCCGGGCUUAACCUGGGAACUGCAUUUGUGACUGUAUAGCUAGAGUACGGCAGAGGGGGAUGGAAUUCCGCGUGUAGCAGUGAAAUGCGUAGAUAUGCGGAGGAACACCGAUGGCGAAGGCAAUCCCCUGGGCCUGUACUGACGCUCAUGCACGAAAGCGUGGGGAGCAAACAGGAUUAGAGACCCCUGUAGUCCCUGUCUCUUAUAC